GUUUAUUCAUUUUAUUAAGACGUUUGAUACACAAAUAAAAUAUCAAUUUUUCAAAAGACAACAUACAAAUACAUAUGGUAUAAUUUGAGUUUGGUCAAUGCGCCAUAAAAGGAAAGAUGGAAUUCCCUGUGCCACGUGAACAAUGCAUUUAUUUUCAAUUAGAGCAGCCAUUUUGUUAAGAUGACAGACUCUAACAAUGUUAACAAUCCUGAGGGGUGACAUUCUGUGUAGACAGACUCAUUAAACACAGGUGCAUCCAAGCUCCGUUAUCUAAGGCCUUAUGUCUAACACAGCAGCCCAGUACAGAUCACUAUGAGGAAAAGGACUUUAUGUCGUUGCUUUCGUUUCAGAAAAAAAUAGAUAACAUAAAAAGGUAUUCCUGUGAAUAAAAUUCCUGUGGAGGGAACUGUGUGUGUGUGGGGUGACUUAAUGGUUAACUAGGGUUUAAAUACAGUACUUGGCCACUUUAUUCUUCCUCUCUCUCCAGGGAAGUUUUAAUGUAUUCAGGUUGUAUGUAUUCUAUUAGUUACAAAAUAUGUGACCGACUACCUCGAUUCAAUCUUUUGUAGCAACAUUUGAAAUUGUGUUUUUUACAUUGGAUAAAAUUAGAGACUCAGAUGUACAACAUUGAAAAUCAUACACAAUGGUUGAGGAACAAUGGGAAAGUAAUUAUUUGCAAGUUGAUAAAGUAGUAACCACACUUUUGAGAAAAUGGCCCUUGAAUGUUUUGAUAACCCUACUAGAGAGCUCUUCUUUGAUUACACCUAUUUAGCAUCAUUCACACCCUCUUAAGCCUUAGACCCAGCCAUCAAUUUAUGGAUUCACAUGUGAGGCCAUGUGCUAAACAGAGUGAGUAAGGUAGUAGCCUAAAAUAAAACACUCCGGGUAAAAAUACACUUUAUCUACUAGCAAUACAAACUGAUUGUCAUAGCCAGCCACCAUGCAUGAAAUGCUGUAGUAUGAAUCUGCAGGUAGCUAAAACUAACCAACUAGCUGAAAAUGUAGCUAGACUCUUAACCGUACACAUGGAUGAACGCUUCAUGGCAGACUAGAAGCCCUUUAUUUCCGUUUUUUUGUACAGC
This 1082-nucleotide long non-coding RNA is filed under the name Salmo salar (Atlantic salmon). RNAcentral describes it as "lncRNA (ENSSSAG00000110585.1)". Lineage: Eukaryota; Metazoa; Chordata; Actinopteri; Salmoniformes; Salmonidae. The record is from RNAcentral.